Hibiscus syriacus is the source of this 2688-nucleotide RNA transcript. It is a transcript of the gene named heterogeneous nuclear ribonucleoprotein 1-like, with no coding region annotated. The transcript has 3 exons. NCBI's taxonomy places the organism in Eukaryota, Viridiplantae, Streptophyta, Magnoliopsida, Malvales, Malvaceae. The record is from RefSeq and is a predicted model, not a curated record.
UUAUUCUUGACUUCCCACCCAGCAACUUCCUAUCUCAAAAUCGCCCCUUUCGUUUUUCUCCAAAUCCCUAAAAUACCCAAAAACCCUAACCUAAAAUAAGAUUGAAAUUCGAGAAAAAAAUCCGUUAGAUUUCGAGAGACUAAAAGAGAAGAGAAAAGGACGGAGAAUGGAUUCAGAUCAGGGGAAGUUGUUUAUCGGCGGUAUAUCAUGGGAAACAAACGAAGAUAGGCUAAAGGAAUACUUUGGUCAAUACGGCGACAUCUUGCAGACUGUUGUUAUGAGAGAUAAGCUUACUGGUAGACCUCGAGGUUUUGGAUUCGUUGUCUUCUCAGAUCCGUCCGUCCUCGAUGCUGUUCUUCAAGAGAAGCACACCAUCGAUGGUAGAACGGUUGAGGCAAAGAGGGCUUUAUCUAGAGAGGAGCAGCAAACAUCUGCUAGAUCUGGUAAUUUUAAUCAGGGUAGAAAUUCUGGAGGUGAUGGGAAUGUCAGGACCAAGAAGAUUUUCGUUGGAGGGUUGCCUCCGACCUUAACUGAAGACGGGUUUCGUGAAUACUUUGAGGCUUAUGGUCAUGUGACCGAUGUAGUAAUCAUGUAUGACCAGAAUACUCAACGGCCUCGAGGAUUUGGUUUUAUCUCCUUUGACACUGAAGAUGCAGUUGAUAGGGUUUUGCACAAAAAUUUUCAUGAUUUGGAUGGCAAAUCAGUUGAAGUGAAGCGGGCUCUUCCUAAAGAUGCCAAUCCUGGUGGGGUUAGUCGAACUUCGAGUGGCAGUUCUGGUGGUUUUGGAGGUUACCAGAGUUAUGGUUCUUCUGGUGGGAAUUCAAAUUCUUAUGAUGGUCGAAUGGACUCCAACAGCUACAUGCGCGCCCAGGGUACUGGAGCUGGCUUUCCACCUUAUGGCUCGUCAGGAUAUGCACCUUGUUACGGUUACGGUCCUGCUAAUAGUGGUGUUGGCUAUGGUAGUUAUGGCAAUUAUGGUGCUGCAGGUGCUGGUUAUGGUGCUCCUGCAGGUGCAGCUUAUGGGAAUCCCAAUGCUGGUUAUGCAAGUGGGCCUCCUGGUGCCCCUAGGAGUUCAUGGGGCGCUCAAAAUCCAACUGGUUAUGGUGCUAUGGGUUAUGAAAAUGCUGCUCCUUGGGGUGCUGGUACUGGUGGCCCAGGUUCUGCAGUUACUGCCCAAUCUUCCACUGGAGCAGCUAGGUACGGGAAUCAAGGUUAUGGAUAUGGUGGAUAUGGAGGAAGUGAUGAAUCGUAUGGGAAUGCUGGAUAUGGGGCUGCUGGAGGUCGUUCUGGUGGUAUACCAAAUAAUAAUGCCGGUUCGGGUGGGGGAGAUCUGCAAGGGAGUGGUGGUGGUUACAUGGGAAGUGGAUACGGUGAUGUAAAUGGAAGUUCAGGGUAUGGUAAUGCGUCAUGGAGGUCUGAUUCAUCCCAAGGUUCUGGAAAUUAUGGGGGUGCUAAUGCAAAUGGUACUCAUGGAGGACAAGGCGGUUAUGGUGGUGGGUACGGUGGUGCACAGGGCCUACAAGCUCCACAACAGUGAUUAUAUGACUGGAAAAAACAACUUGAUCUUGACCUCUUCUGUGCAUAACCUUCCCUUUGCAGUUUGCUGUUGUAAUUGUGAUGGUUUCUUACUCCCAGAAGUGACAGGGGAGGCUCAAGCUGGAUGCCAAGUUUCCUUGGGACUGGUGGAGAGAUGCUCGAGAGUUCAAAGGUGGAGUCAAGUGUCCACUCAUGGCUCAACCCGACCUUUGUGGUGGGGGUUGUUCAGUGUGGGAUUUGUUUGGCAGAGGACUUGCUCGGUUGAAAUUUUGAAUUAACAUGAGAUGAGAGAGGCCCUUCCCCUCCCCGGAGCUGCCCCAACACUGCAAAUACAAAAGCUUCCCCUAUCUUCAUCCAGGUUCUGUGGGGGGUUUAUUCAGAUCGAAUUGGAUUAGUGAAGCAAACUGCUUGGGGACCUGGCGGAUCAAGAUUGCAGUACUCGCUAAUCAUUGAGUGUGCUUGGAAUAGACCUUAUAGCAUUGGGAGGGAGUAUGUCCUUCGCAUUAGUUUUGGAAUGAAUUAAUUGAGUUCUUUCCAACAUUUAAUGCCGGGGGCCUGUCUUCCAAUUUACUGGCAGUAGGUUAAAUCUACUAAAUUCUGCUGGGAACCUCACAUUAUUAGUAAUUUAUUCAUUAUUAUAGGAAGUUGAACAGAGUUUUGGUUGGUGGAAGGAGUUAAGACAUUGUUUUAAGGAUUUUAAUGAUGAAAGCAUUUAGUAUCAAGGAUUUUAGAUAGAAACUCAGCCUUUUUUUCCAUCUUAUCAAUAGAGGUAUUCAUUUGAUGAGCUAUAAGCUAAUCAGGUUUGUUUAGGUAGUUGAUAAAUUUGCUGUUAUUGCAAAGAGGGUUGAAAAGGUCGGUCGAAGGUCAUUGAUCGGCAAUGGUUGCAUAGCAUCUAUUAGGAUUUGGCUGCCUUGCUUGGCUUAUUAUAUAUGGUGAAUGAAACCUUGGGAUGGAUAACCGGGUGCAUGGAAUUGUCAUGACAUCCAAACAUAAGAAGAAGCCAUUCUAAAUGCUCUCAAAUCAUCUUGUUGGAGUGCUUGUAAAAUGGUUAUGGAAGAUCAACAAAAUAUGUAACAUGUAGAAUGCCAAGAUUAACUUCGGUUUACAAGGAUUACAUUUGUCAAGAAAUACAUGAUACAUGCGUACCCUGAA